This 254-nucleotide ribosomal RNA is filed under the name uncultured bacterium. Its description in RNAcentral is "partial 16S ribosomal RNA". It matches the Rfam family "Bacterial small subunit ribosomal RNA", at positions 524 to 776 of the family's 1533-position model. The record is from RNAcentral.
CACGUAGGGGGCAAGCGUUGUCCGGAUUUAUUGGGCGUAAAGAGCUCGUAGGUGGUUCGGUAAGUCGGGUGUGAAACCUCCAGGCUCAACCUGGAGACGCCACCCGAUACUGCUGUGACUAGAGUCCAGUAGGGGAGCGUGGAAUUCCUGGUGUAGCGGUGAAAUGCGCAGAUAUCAGGAGGAACACCAGUGGCGAAGGCGGCGCUCUGGGCUGGAACUGACACUGAGGAGCGAAAGCGUGGGGAGCGAACAGG